CCUACGGGAGGCAGCAGUGAGGAAUAUUGGUCAAUGGGCGAGAGCCUGAACCAGCCAAGUCGCGUGAAGGAUGACGGCCCUACGGGUUGUAAACUUCUUUUGUCAGGGAGCAAUUGGGUCCACGCGUGGGCUUAGCGAGAGUACCUGAAGAAAAAGCAUCGGAUAACUCCGUGCCAGCAGCCGCGGUAAUACGGAGGAUGCGAGCGAUCACCGGAUUUAUGGGGUUUAAAGGGUGCGUAGGCGGAAUAUCAAGUCAGCGGUAAAAAUUCGGGGCUAAACCCCGUCGUGCCGUUGAAACUGAUGUUCUGGAGUGGGCAAGAAGUAUGCGGAAUGCGUGGUGUAGCGGUGAAAUGCAUAGAUAUCACGCAGAACUCCGAUUGCGAAGGCAGCUUACGAAUCUAUAUCUGACGUUGAGGCACGAAAGCGUGGGGAGCAAACAGGAUUAGAUACCCUUGUAGUC
RNAcentral lists this ribosomal RNA (460 nucleotides) under uncultured bacterium. Its description in RNAcentral is "partial 16S ribosomal RNA". It matches the Rfam family "Bacterial small subunit ribosomal RNA", at positions 338 to 795 of the family's 1533-position model. The record is from RNAcentral.